RNAcentral lists this ribosomal RNA (432 nucleotides) under uncultured bacterium. RNAcentral describes it as "bacterial SSU rRNA". It matches the Rfam family "Bacterial small subunit ribosomal RNA", at positions 958 to 1392 of the family's 1533-position model. The record is from RNAcentral.
AACGCGAAGAACCUUACCUACACUUGACAUCCCUUGCAUUACUCUUAAUCGAGGAAAUCCCUUCGGGGACAAGGUGACAGGUGGUGCAUGGUUGUCGUCAGCUCGUGUCGUGAGAUGUUGGGUUAAGUCCCGCAGCGAGCGCAACCCUUGUCGUUGGUUACUACCAUUAAGUUGAGGACUCCAGCGAGACUGCCUGGGUUAACCAGGAGGAAGGUGGGGAUGACGUCAAAUCAUCAUGCCCCUUAUGUGUAGGGCUACACACGUGCUACAAUGGCUGGUACAGAGAGAUGCAAUACCGCGAGGUGGAGCCAAACUUAAAAACCAGUCUCAGUUCGGAUUGUAGGCUGAAACUCGCCUACAUGAAGCUGGAGUUACUAGUAAUCGCGAAUCAGAAUGUCGCGGUGAAUACGUUCCCGGGUCUUGUACACACCG